CCAUCUUUUUGACCCCUCUAAAUAAAUGAAAUAUACCGGACUUAGCGGUUGACAAGAAUAAAAAAAAAAGGAAAAUAACUUUCAACUUUUUCAUGAUUGACGUUUACUUCAUUAAAGUAAUAGUGAUCAUCCCCCCACCCCUAACAAAAAUUAAAUAAAACAACAACAAUAUUAAAAAAACAAUUUGAAACGUUCAUAAAACAUGAUAACAUCGAGUCCGUCGAUUCGGAUGCAAUCGACCAACGUUGAAAGACAUUUGUUUUUUAUGUUUGUUCUUAUGAUAACUUAUCGUUCUUAUAACAAAAUGUAUUAUAAAAUUGAAAACUAAUCAAAAUAUGAAAUAACUUUUUAG
This 352-nucleotide long non-coding RNA is filed under the name Mytilus galloprovincialis (Mediterranean mussel). Lineage: Eukaryota; Metazoa; Mollusca; Bivalvia; Mytilida; Mytilidae. The record is from RNAcentral.